UAUAAAACUCGGCUGUCUGUAGUCUUCUCAGGGCUGCAGUAAACACAGCCACUCGUUUCAUUCGGACCGAAUGCAAUGAUUGGCUGGGUGACUGUCACUCUCCCUCGCUACCAUGGCUACCAGCCGUGCUGCUACCGGGGCUGCCCCCGUGCGCGCACCCGGUCAGCUCUCUCAGACCUGACGAGCGAAGCGAUCAGACCGGAGGUAAUAUCUGCGUGGCUUUUCAACGAUAGUGACUGACAACUGAGGAACACCAAGGGGCUGAAAAGUUGCAACGUGGUGGCUUUAUUUCUGCUGGACAGGUCACCUGCAGUCUUCCAACACCCUGUGCUUCUAACCAGUACACUGAUCGGACCACGCUGGCUGGCCUGGAUUACAACCACCGUGUCCACAGACCAGCCAGGAGAAAAGCUGAUGACACAGUUCAGUACAGCAAGGUGUACAACAAAGUCCAGGAAGUGGAGCUUGUACUCAUUGAAGGUGGA
Micropterus dolomieu (smallmouth bass) is the source of this 485-nucleotide long non-coding RNA. RefSeq lists it as uncharacterized. The transcript is spliced from 3 exons. Lineage: Eukaryota; Metazoa; Chordata; Actinopteri; Centrarchiformes; Centrarchidae. The record is from RefSeq and is a predicted model, not a curated record.